Molecule: long non-coding RNA, 6463 nt
Filed under: Solanum tuberosum (potato)
Lineage: Eukaryota; Viridiplantae; Streptophyta; Magnoliopsida; Solanales; Solanaceae
Description: long non-coding RNA (STUB_LNC002397)
Source: RNAcentral
UAAUAAUCACCAAGCACUAUUCAUGGAAAAUAGUUGAAUUAAUAAGCAUUCUAUUUAUUUCAUCCUAUCAUCCUAUAAUCUAGCACUCACAAAGAAAGGGACAGAGGCAUUGUGCUGGGAGAUUCGGAGCACGUGAGUCGCAACUUGGGGUAUUGUAGGUGCAUAAAUUUGGAGGAGGUUAAGAGUGCUAUUCGUAGGAUGCACAAGGGGAAGAGCAAUCGGGCCAGAUGAGAUCUCUGUGGAAUUUUGGAAGAGUGCGGGCAAGGCAAGUUUGGAGUGACUAACUAGGUUGUUUAAUGUCAUUCUUAAGACAGCCAAAAUGACCGAAGAAUGGAGGUGGAGUACAAUGAUUCAAGAGAGGUAGAGGUAGGUCGAAGAAACAUUGGGGAGAUGUGAUUAGACAAGACAUGGCACAACUUCAUUUACUAGAGGACAUGGCCUUAGAUAGGAGGCAAUGGAGGACACGGAUUAUGGUAGAAAGCGAGUAGGUAUUUGAGCGUUGUCUCACUUAUUAUUCCAUACUAGUAGUCGUAGUAUUACUCUUAUAGUUUUUUGUUCUUCGAUUUCUGUUCCGAUAUGUUGUUUCUUGUACUUCGAUUAUAGUAUUAUUAUAUUGUAGUUAUUGUUCCUUUUUCCCGGAAUGUUGUCAUGCUAUUUUUAGUAUUUUGUCGUGGGUUCUUCACUUGUAUUAUUUCUUUUCCUGAACUGCUUGCUUAUCCUUGAAAUGAGGGUCUAUCAAAAACACCCUCUCUACCUCCAAACUCCAAAGGUAGGGGGUUAAGGUCUGCGUAUAUACUGCCUUCCCCAAACCCCACUUGUGGAUUACACUGGGUAUGUUGUUUUGGUUGUUGUAUUAUCCUAAUCUAGCACUCGUCAACUUAAAUUAGUAAUAACAAACUUCGUUCUACUUUUUCUCUUGUUUUUUUGGCUAGUUUUGGCAAAGGGAAGUAGCAAGUCUGAGGCAGCAGCUGCAUUACUUGCAAGAAAAUCACAGGUAUAUCUUCUACAUGCCUUGAUGCCAUAGGAUCUUUUGUUGUAUAAGCUACAGAUUAAGCAGUAUGAUGCCUUUACACACUACAGGGUGAGCAUUUGAUACCUUUUAAUUUUUUGAAUUAUGUGAAUCACCUUAUCUAAAGGGUAAACUAUUUUAGUGGAGAUAUUUUUUAAUUAUCUUUUAGCACGAGCCUCUCCCACUGUCAAGAAUGACCCUUCCCUACUUUGCUCCUCUUGAUGAUUCAAACCCUGACCUCAAUUUUGGAGGUUGAUAAGCUGCUUAACUUAGAUCCCAAGGACAACUUUGUGAAUCAUUACACAUUUUUGCAAAGACAAAACUUUAGCUACACUCAUAAUUGAGGAAGUAACUAUUGCCACACAAAAAGUAUGUAAGUUGGAAAUAUUUUGUGAUCUAGCAGGCAUCUCUAUAAGGUGUAAAGUUCCUUGGACACUUGGAGAGGUUGGAGUAGUACAAUUAUUUAGAAUAUUUUACUUGGUAGUUGGAAUUUUAUUUUAUUUUUAUGACAAGGGAAACCCGCAGCCGCUACCCUUUGGGUGCGCACGGGGUAAAAACCCCGCUCCUAUGCAAUAGCUCGCAAACCACAUAGGAGAGGUAACCCGCACUAGGCAAGCCCGGUGCGACGAGCUCGACCCAGAAGGCAAACCCCUUGCUUUCGCUGGCAGGGGGUUUCGAACUUGAGACCUCCAACAUGGAAGUCCCAACCCCAAACCACUGGGCCACCCUGAAGGGUACUUGGUAGUUGGAAAUACAAAAUGUAUUCUACUGUACAACUCUACUGGCAAAUGUGGAAGAAACAGAAAAAGAAAAAAAAAAGAUUUGAGUAUGAUAAAAGCCAAAAUAUAUAGCAUUGUUGAUUCCAUUUGACCUAUUAUCUAUCCUUUGAAAAUGCAAGACAUCCCAUUUAAUCACCUCUUUCACUUUCACUUUUUUUCCUUGACUUACCUCAAACAAAUAAAAGCCAUCUUGAGGUACUAACUGUAAUCCGAGGCACACAUAUGAGAAGACAAAAGGCAUUUAAGGGGGUUCUUCUUUACUGUUGAAACAGUUCCUUGUGGUUUCUCAAAGUUUCUUUUGUUAGUUUUUAUGGUUCGGGGAAAAUAAACAAUUGGAAAACAGAACCCCAACAAAGAUGCUCCAAAUUCAUGUUGUUCUAAGGUUCAAUCUUCUCAAGCAUAAUUGUAAUUCAGGGUUUCUGGUAAAAGACUUAUGGUGCAAGGCAAUAAAGGCUGUGAAAACAGAACAACAUAAAGAUGCCAUGAUUAUUGAUUUUGGAGGACAUAAGAUGCACUCCUAUAUAGCAAUUUAUGGACAUACAAAAUUUAUAAGUGCACAAAAGAAUUCUGAACAGAGAAAUAAUUUUCUACUGCUUGGUUGCUAGUGAUUGAUUGUUAGUAAUAAGAACCACUGCACCAAUAAAUUAUAAAUGUAGAUGCAAAAAGAUUAAAUAAAAAGGCAAAGACUAGUCAAACUCAAAUAUCAUAUAAAUUAAUUCAAUUAAGAAAGAACUUGGAAAAAUUCUGAAUAUAAAAACUUACAAAUCCAAGAAUUACUUAGGAAAUGACACCCAAGAUUUGAAAUUGCAAUGUUUUCUUCCAUGUGUUACUGUGAAUAACUCCAAGAAAAGAGAAGAAUAAUUAUUGAAAAUAUGAAGAUGAACAUCUCCUUUUACUUUGCUACAGGGCAUGAUUCGAAGUUGUAAGCAUGCUUAACAUGCAAUUAUAAAGUCACUAUAAAUCGUGUAAAUUUCAUUGUCAUAGAUCAAGCUUAGUAAACUGAAGGGAGAAAUAAUUUAACUAACACCUUUUUUAUGAACCACAGGCAGCUUUUGGGUCAAGAACUUUCUGGACUCAACACCAAAGAUCUAACAAAUCUGGAAAACCAAAUUGAAAUGAGUUUGAAAGGCGUUCGAAAGCAAAAGGUAAAAUCUACACAUUUAAAUUCUUCUGUGUUCAUGAAACUUAUGCUAAUAUCAAGUCAACGAUCUCUCCCAAAAGUAUUACUCCUUUUUUUAUUAUAAGGAUCCUAAAUGUAUUACUCUUUUCUUGCAGGAGCAGAUUCUGACGGAUGAAAUCAGAGAACUAAAUCAGAAGGUCUUACCAGAAAAACUAUAACAACUUCCAUAUGUCUUUAAUCUUUGCACCAAGAUGAUUAAUAUUGCUUCUACAGGGCAAUCUUAUUCAUCAAGAAAAUAUAGAACUCUAUAAAAAGGUAAACCUUAUUCGACAAGAGUACACAGAAUUGCAGAAGGUACUAAUUUAGAGAGUAUUCUCCAACUGUUGUUUGAGUAUGCAGUAUGCACCACAAAAAUGUGAUUUUACAUUAAACUUUUACCACACGCAUAGAUGUCCUUGACCUUGAUCUAAGGAAAACUUAUCUAUUCAGAUUUCUGAGCAAGGAUAUGAAAGUGCACCAAAUGGGGGUGUGCAGGCCACACAUACAAUCAGCAAUGGAUAUGACCUACAUGCACCAAUCAAUCUCCAGCUAAGCCAGCCACAAACACAAAAGAAUGGAACAUCAACAAGUGUCAUGCAACUUGGGUAAAUUCCUAUCAGAAUAAUUAGUCAUGCUUCAAACUCUCGCUUCUCCCCCACUCCCAUAAUUUGAUCCCUCCCUCAGAGGGCAAUAGAGAAAACGUGACAUUAACUCCACCACUAUUACUUUUUAAACAGGCUACAACUGCACUACACAGAAGACUGAUAGCUCUCUGUUUUCUCAACUAGACCUACAUCUAAAAGACACUUCUAUGAAUCCCAUUCUUGAUCAAGCUAGAAGGAAAAAGUUCAUCAAGCCUGAGGAGACUAUGCUCUGCUGAUAUGUUGGAGAGUUUUAUGAUUGAUGUGAACAUGCAGAAGUUAUCUAUGUAAAGUAAUUUAACUUAAACUAAGAAUAAAAACAUGAGGAUUAUCACUUGUGACUUGUCAAGGUUUGCUUCAGUAUUAUAUGUGUUGAAUGAAAAUGGUUGUACAUUAAUACCUGUGAUUGGUGCCCAUCCAGGAUGACUCAAAUAAGACUUGGUUUCAUGGAACUGUACAAGGCUGCAUCAAACUCGGAAGAAAUUUUAUUUGAGUUCCAUGGCUUAAUUUCCCGUUUCUGCUCAAGAGCCCCUUUAAAAGAAUGACUCCAGAAAUUUGAACUCAAUAUUGUAAGAUUCUCAGGUUUUUUGUGAGAAUGCUCAUCUUAUAGACUAAGAAGGCUUCCAUACACUCUCUUUUUCUGAAUGCUUCAAGAUACUAGUAAUGCACUAUCCUGCAAACUAUAACAUAAAGGUUACACAACUACAACAUAUUGCCAAAAUUCGAUCAGUGAACCAAACGAUGCUGUCAAACCAAUCGAAAUAGGAAAAAAUAAAUGCUGAAAAUGCAAAAUCUGACCGGAUAAAGUUUAACAUUAGGAUCAUUUUAUAAGUAUUCAUGAGCAUGUUUCUAUUGUUAUAAGGACCGACAACUCCUACAUGCAAUGCAUCAAAAUCACCCACAAUUAAGCACGUGAAACAUUAAGAGCCGCCGAAACCCUGUGAAAACGGGAAGUUGGACAAGAUAUACUAAUUCAUCAGACACCUCUUUUUGUCAGCCAAUUCAAACUAAGAAGAACAUUGACUUUUAGCUCCAGACAUGAGACUACAAUAGGGUCAACUUUCAAAGACCAGAAAUUAACUACUCUUAGACAAGUUUACUUUAGUUAACUCAACCUUAAGCCAGGAGGGAAAAUUGACUAAUCACUACACGGCUAUACAAGCAAGUUGCUACAUUUGGCUAACUGAAUCCUAGGCUGGGAGUUGAGUGCAAUUACAGGGAAAUUUUUUCAAAGUUUUCAGCUCACCUAUGAGGAAGAAAAAUAGAAGGAAAAGAAGUCCAGCUGAUGUAGUUAGGAAAUUCAUCUGCAAAGCAAAAGGUAAAUCUAAAAUGAUCAGACAGAUCAAAUAGAUAGCAAAGGAUCACCAGCAAAUGAGGUUUUGCCUUUUGGGACAUCUAUACUAUAUCAGAAGGACCAAUAGCAAGAAGGACAUCCAUACACUAAGGUUGCAUAUGCUCACAGUACAUAAUAAAAGCAUUGCACGCAACUUAUGAUAAGAACAUAUACAUGCUCAAUGCAAUGCAUCCAAAAGUAUAAAAAGUGGAUGUAUACGCUUGGAAGCCCAAGUGAGAAGAAUUAAGGCACAUAAAAAUCGGCAUCAUCCAUCACAUAAAUGAAGUCACCAAAAAGAAAAGCAUAACACUCUGAAUGUUUCAAAGUUUCAAGAUCUAGUGGAAUUUCAUUCAACGUACUGUGAGCAUUUGCAACCUUAAAGUGACAAGUAAAAUUUAUUAUGUACUCAAAAAGUGCUACUUUAUCUAUAAAAGUAUGUUUAACAGCAACCAGCAGCGGUGGUUACAUUUGAGGAAUAAGGAAAAUUGAUUUCAGUAUAAAACUCUGCAUUACUUACAGCAUUUUUUUACGUUAUAGAACUUUUCUUUACUAAUAUAAUCUCAACAUUACUAAUGCAGCAUUUUAGUUACCUUUUUAUCAAAGGUUAUGCAAGAGUUUAGUAUCACGUGUUUUAUAACUAAUAUUGGCACAACUUUUUCUGAAAUUUAUAUGGAAUAAAAUAAAAUGUGAAACAAUAAGAAAACAUCACUUCCAUUAAAAUAAAGGCAAGAAGAACCUUCAUUUGAGCAUGGGGAUUCUAUCUCGAUGAUAGAAGGAACUACUUGAGCACUUGACAAGAAGAAACUUCAUUUGCCGGAGCUGGGAAUGUUGUGUGUACUUUCAAGUUAACGUUGAAAGAUUCACUAGAACGAGUAUGCAUGGGAUAUUAUGAUAUGUGAUCUGUUUGGUAAAUGGGAGAUAGUGUUACUAAUUCGAGCAUUAGGGAAACCAGCAGGGAAUCAAAAGCGACAAUGCCUUGAGAUGGGAGUAAUAAAAAAAAUCAAUGGAAAUAAGAUAGAAGGAUAAAGGAGUCGCGAGCAAGAGAAGUUAGGUUUUCUACCCAACACAGUCUUUUUCAACCCAACAUAGCUUUUCAAUAAAACCAGUGUAUUCCUCGUGAUUAUACGUUGGAUGAACCAAAAAUCUCUGCCAUUCACUGGACACAAACUACCAGCUGUCAUCCUUCCACUGCUCAUCCUUUCAAUGCUCAGGCAGAGAACCAGUCACGAAGCCCCAACAUGAUGAUGCCCUCGAGAUUCAUGUUCAAAAAGAGCACACAACAGUGAUACAGUGACCUUUUAGUGGACCAACACUCCACUUAAACCACCCAAUCUAAUCCACAUGAAAGAAAUCUGGGAACCCAUUCAAAUUUGAACUUGACAAAUAUCCACCACUCCAAGAGGCUCAAACUCACAAUUAUAGGGUUAUUUGAAGUACAUUUUUAGCCAAUUGGUUUUGUUCUUCUCCGCCAUAAUUACAAAACAAACUUGUUGCACUUUAUAGUUGCGUGAUAUGUUAACCACCUAACUACAUCGAGAAAAA